UCGAGAAUCAUUCACAAUGGGGGAAACCCUGAUGGUGCGACGCCGCGUGGGGGAAUGAAGGUCUUCGGAUUGUAAACCCCUGUCAUGUGGGAGCAAAUUAAAAAGAUAGUACCACAAGAGGAAGAGACGGCUAACUCUGUGCCAGCAGCCGCGGUAAUACAGAGGUCUCAAGCGUUGUUCGGAAUCACUGGGCGUAAAGCGUGCGUAGGCGGUUUCGUAAGUCGUGUGUGAAAGGCGGGGGCUCAACCCCGGACUGCACAUGAUACUGCGAGACUAGAGUAAUGGAGGGGGAACCGGAAUUCUCGGUGUAGCAGUGAAAUGCGUAGAUAUCGAGAGGAACACUCGUGGCGAAGGCGGGUUCCUGGACAUUAACUGACGCUGAGGCACGAAGGCCAGGGGAGCGAAAGGG
Molecule: ribosomal RNA, 409 nt
Filed under: Acidobacteriota bacterium
Lineage: Bacteria; Pseudomonadati; Acidobacteriota
Description: Acidobacteria bacterium partial 16S ribosomal RNA
Rfam family: Bacterial small subunit ribosomal RNA
Source: RNAcentral